This 497-nucleotide ribosomal RNA is filed under the name uncultured bacterium. RNAcentral describes it as "partial 16S ribosomal RNA". It matches the Rfam family "Bacterial small subunit ribosomal RNA", at positions 28 to 507 of the family's 1533-position model. The record is from RNAcentral.
GAUGAACGAUGGAGGCGUGCCUAAUACAUGCAAGUCGAGCGAACAGACGAGGAGCUUGCUCCUCUGACGUUAGCGGCGGACGGGUGAGUAACACGUGGAUAACCUACCUAUAAGACUGGGAUAACUUCGGGAAACCGGAGCUAAUACCGGAUAAUAUAUUGAACCGCAUGGUUCAAUAGUGAAAGACGGUUUUGCUGUCACUUAUAGAUGGAUCCGCGCCGCAUUAGCUAGUUGGUAAGGUAACGGCUUACCAAGGCAACGAUGCGUAGCCGACCUGAGAGGGUGAUCGGCCACACUGGAACUGAGACACGGUCCAGACUCCUACGGGAGGCAGCAGUAGGGAAUCUUCCGCAAUGGGCGAAAGCCUGACGGAGCAACGCCGCGUGAGUGAUGAAGGUCUUCGGAUCGUAAAACUCUGUUAUUAGGGAAGAACAAAUGUGUAAGUAACUAUGCACGUCUUGACGGUACCUAAUCAGAAAGCCACGGCUAACUACGUG